RNAcentral lists this ribosomal RNA (252 nucleotides) under uncultured bacterium. RNAcentral describes it as "partial 16S ribosomal RNA". It matches the Rfam family "Bacterial small subunit ribosomal RNA", at positions 524 to 776 of the family's 1533-position model. The record is from RNAcentral.
UACGGGGGGGCAAGCGUUGUUCGGAAUUACUGGGCGUAAAGGGCUCGUAGGUUGCCAACUAAGUCAGACGUGAAAUCCCUCGGCUUAACCGGGGAACUGCGUCUGAUACUGGAUGGCUUGAGUUUGGGAGAGGGACGCGGAAUUCCAGGUGUAGCGGUGAAAUGCGUAGAUAUCUGGAGGAACACCGGUGGCGAAGGCGGCGUCCUGGACCAACACUGACACUGAUGAGCGAAAGCCAGGGGAGCAAACGGG